RNAcentral lists this long non-coding RNA (295 nucleotides) under Pan troglodytes (chimpanzee). RNAcentral's name for it is "long non-coding RNA NONPTRT000248". The record is from RNAcentral. Lineage: Eukaryota; Metazoa; Chordata; Mammalia; Primates; Hominidae.
UUGAUGAAGAGUUCCAGCGGAAGCAUCAGCCAGUCAUUAAUUCCAGGGGAGGGUGCACGUGGAACCAGAAUGGGUGGCUGGCCAGGCAGGAGGCUGCCCCUCACCAGGGAGAGGAAAGAGCGCUCCUCUCUCCAGCCUUGCUGUGGCCUUUAACUUGCUUCACCGGGUGUCCAGAAUCACAGCUCUUUACAAGGCUGAAACCGAAGCCGCCUGAGGUCCCCGGGAGACUUGCUAAAACUUCAACUGCACCCAGUUUAGCGGAGCAACUUGAAAGUUAAUCAGCGGUGAGGGACAG